GGUCAUCCAUACGAUUUCAGACUUGCAGUUUCCCGUCACUCGUUUGCCACCCAUUUUCAUCCGGAGGAGUAAUAUCCAUUUGUGGUUGUAAACAGAAAGGCCAAAGCGCGGCUUGGUACAAAAAUGUUGUGAUGAUUGUUAAUCUUCAGUUAAGGCUUUAUGCUCAAGAUCAUGUUUUACAGUUCAAGAAAGAAUAUUUUUCAGUGAGCCAUUUCAGAAGCUAGAAAGCUGGGGUUUUUUGCUUGGGUUGAAACUUGUUUUAUUGUAAAUUUGAUUAGCAAGGACUUUCAUAGAUAAAAGUUGUCUUUGUCAUACCAUGAAAAGGAGAGUGAAAGAGUUCUGGCACAUUGAUUGAAAAAGUGAUCCUGUAUAUAUAUUUUUCAACAAGAAAUGUAGUUAUGAUUCUGAUCUAUACAUACUAAUUUACUAAUUUACUCUGUUGUCCUUUGAUAAAAGUUUAUAAUGUUGAUUUAAAAUAAAGAAUAUCUGAAUUA
Xenia sp. Carnegie-2017 is the source of this 494-nucleotide long non-coding RNA. RefSeq lists it as uncharacterized. The record is from RefSeq and is a predicted model, not a curated record. The transcript is spliced from 2 exons. Lineage: Eukaryota; Metazoa; Cnidaria; Anthozoa; Malacalcyonacea; Xeniidae.